AGAUGAAGAACUGAGACUCAGAAAGCAUAAGUCGACUUGUCUGACCCCAGAGAUAUUUUGCAUCAAACAUCUUCCAGAGUGGCAGGAUUCCUUGGGAGUAGCCCAAGCUUCAUUUGAUGAAGAUCACUCAUUGGAGAAUCUGUCUUUGAACCUGACAGAGGAAAACAAGGUACUAAAUAAGUAAGGACUUUGGAUCCUCAGAGUUGGAAGGGCCCAAACUACCUAGUUUGUCCCACCUGUUUUAGAUGUGGAAACUCUUGGGUCAACACCAGAAGAGUAAUAACCACCACUGUGCUCUUGACGUGGAUUAUCUCAAUGAUUCUGAAAAUUUCAUCACUGUGGGCUCCUUUUAUAAUUUUGGACAUAUUUGAAUGUUAUUGAUACUAUGAUCUACUUAAUGCUGUUCUCCCCUUUAAAUGGAUCUGCUUUUAAAACCUAAAUCCAUUUACUCACACAGAAAAUUUUAUACUAUUUCUGUGAAUAGAAAACCACUAACCAUAAAAAUUAUUCCAAUAAAAAAGAAAAUAUGUAUUAAGUUCUACCUAGACACUGUUGCCUGCAGUGGGACUCUGAGCCUGAAGUCUUCACUCCCUUUGUUAAAACACAGAGAACAAAACAACAAAAAUAAUUAGUACUUGUUAGGCAUUAAAGACACAAUAGCAUCAACUGGAGACUUUCUUGACGUAAUUAGAAGAAUUCAAAGAGAGCUAAAAAGGACCUAAUACACUUACUGUUUGAGUCAGUGCUAUUUAAUGCCUUGUCUGUGCAUUAUUUCAAAUCAUUUUCAAUACCACCCGUGGUCUCUGCACCUCUGGAAACACCCCAUUAUCUUAGCUCAUCCUCGCAAUAAUCCUAUGAGGUAAGUACUAGCACUAGGACUAGUUAGUACUGCCCCAUUUGUUGGAUGCACAGCCAGUCAGGCACCCCUGCUCUCUCUGUCUCCAGGGUGCCUGACCACAGUGAUAUUCUGUUCUGUGUUGCAACUACCCAUAAAAAGAGCCUUUGGCAGCAUCUUGUGGGUCCCCAUAAAUCUUGCAGGUCCAGAUGUCCAUCCAGGAAUAAACUCCACUGCAUGGAGCCCCAUGGUGAGACGGACUGCAGGCUUGCAGCCCCACACCUAUGCACCGGCAACGUGCCCCCAGGAACACAGGACCAACUCCAAAUUUGGGAAUGAAGAUAAUGUUCAGGGGAACACAGGACCAACUCCAAAUUUGGGAAUGAAGAUAAUGUUCAGGUAGGAAAGGAGGAGUGCACAGGAGAGGAAGGAAGUGAAAGCAAGUGGUGGAGAGGACAAGGGGAGCCUCAGGGUCCUCAUUUGGAAAAUGGGGCAAGAAGACCUGCUUCACAGGAUGGUUGAUUGUUGGGAGGAUUUGAACACAUAGCAGGUGAUUCACUCUCCCUCUCCCCUCCCUCCUCUCUCCUCUGGCCCAUGUCUGUCCCCCUCCCCUCCUCUCCGCUCCUCUUCUUUCCUCUCCUCACCUCCCCUCUCUUCUCCUCCCCUCCCUUCCCCUCUUCCCUUCUCUCAUCCCCUCUUCUCCCCUUCCCUCACC
This 1550-nucleotide long non-coding RNA is filed under the name Homo sapiens (human). Its description in RNAcentral is "HSALNT0386242". Lineage: Eukaryota; Metazoa; Chordata; Mammalia; Primates; Hominidae. The record is from RNAcentral.